AUGCCUGAAGGAGAGGAAGAUGUACGUAUACCACGGGCAAAACCAGAUCUACCAGACACUCACAAAUUUGCAGCAUAUAUUGCACUAAAAGCACUUAGCAGGGAUGGAGAAAUUGACAAGAGAGACAAAGAACGUGUAGCUGGUCUGCUGAACACAAGUGUCAGAACCGUUGAAAGAAUAUGGAAGGAGGCAAAUGCCCAGCUUGCAAGAGGAGAAGAGAUCAAUGUGUCUAAUAAAAGGAAGCGGAGAUGUGGUAGAAAGAGGGCAGACCUUGAUCUCUCGAGGAUACCUUCAAUUCCCCUCAACAAAAGGUCUACACUGAGGGCACUCGCUAGGUCUCUGGAUGUACCAUAUUCUACCUUGCGGAGAAGGUUC
This 375-nucleotide ribosomal RNA is filed under the name Triticum aestivum (bread wheat). RNAcentral's name for it is "partial small subunit ribosomal RNA". Lineage: Eukaryota; Viridiplantae; Streptophyta; Magnoliopsida; Poales; Poaceae. The record is from RNAcentral.